RNAcentral lists this small nuclear RNA (134 nucleotides) under Marchantia polymorpha subsp. ruderalis. Its description in RNAcentral is "U4 spliceosomal RNA". It matches the Rfam family "U4 spliceosomal RNA". Rfam says of the family: U4 small nuclear RNA (U4 snRNA) is a component of the major U2-dependent spliceosome. The structure of U4 snRNA from yeast and human has been reported. U4 snRNA presents a k-turn RNA motif in the 5p-SL related to recognition of Snu13 protein. The record is from Rfam by way of RNAcentral. Lineage: Eukaryota; Viridiplantae; Streptophyta; Marchantiopsida; Marchantiales; Marchantiaceae.
AUCUUUGAGCUUGGGGCAAUGACGCAGUUAGUCAGGUGAAACCGAGACGCGUCAAUUGCUGGUUGAAAUCUAUUUCCUGUUUGUGUGUCUGGCGUGACUCCACGAGCUUCUAAUAUUGCAUCUUCUUAGCUGCA